RNAcentral lists this long non-coding RNA (1307 nucleotides) under Homo sapiens (human). RNAcentral's name for it is "HSALNT0096272". Lineage: Eukaryota; Metazoa; Chordata; Mammalia; Primates; Hominidae. The record is from RNAcentral.
AUCAUGGGCUCCACCUUUCAGCCCCUACAACUGAGCCUGGUUCGGGGCAGGUAGUGAGACUGACUCCGAGCCAGGCACGCACCCUGCCAAGCACCUCCACGUGGUGCCUCCUUUUAUUCCCACAAGGCUACAGGAUAGGUGGAAUUGGAAUGAGGAGCCCUGUUUUACAGAGAAGGAAACCGAAGCUCCUGUGCUGACGGUCAGUUAGUUACAAAGGUCUUAAUCCAAAACUCUGAACCAUUUUGUUAAUUUAUCUUUCAGUAACAGUUCAAUUAAGUUAGACAAAUAUCCCAAAAAGCUCUUAGCUGGCCCUCAAGGCACUUGAGUUCACAGCCCAGAAGAAAGGAAGUAAAGACACGGUAAGGUAACUUUUCUUUGUUUCAGACUCAUUAUGUCAGAGAUUAAGAGAGAGCUCUUCAAAAUUGUUGGAUCCAACCCCCCACUAUAAAGUUGGAGUAACUGAGGCCCAGUGAGGGCAAUGGCUGGUCUGAGGUCACAAGUGAGGGAGGGACGAGACCAGACUCUCUCACCUGCCUGUUGCUGUCUUCACAGCUAUGAAAACAAACACAUGCGCCGCGCACGGUGGCUCACGCCUGUAAUCCCAGCACUUUGGGAGGCCAAGGCGGGUGGAUCACCUGAGAUCAGGAGUUCGAGACCAGCCUGACCAACAUGGAGAAACUCCAUCUCUAUUAAAAAUACAAAAUUAGCCAGGUGUGGUAGCACAUGUCUGUAAUCCCAGCUACUCGGGAAGCUGAGGCAGGAGAAUCGCUUGAACCCGGGAGGCAGAGGUGGCAGUGAGCCAAAUUCAUGCCAUUGCACUCCAGCCUGGGCAACAAGAGCGAAAGUCCAUCUCAAAAAAAAAAAAAAAGAAGAAAAAGAAAAGAAAGAAAAGAAAACAAACACGCGCUAACCUGCAAUAAACUAGUCUGGUCAGAAACAAGUGCAUGGCAGAUGCAGAUUUGAACCCAGGCAUCCAAAUUCCUGGUCCAGUACUCUAGCGCGGCCUGGAUGGAGAUGGGUGGUGAAAUGGAUGGGAAGAUUUGUCAGUUUGCCCCAGCACAUUUACUAUCCUUCCCACCACCCCGCCCAGCACAUUCAACUGGCCCCUGCCACCAACCCCCUCAUUCAAAGUACAGACACUACUCAUUUUACAGACAGAGGUUCAGGAUGUUUUUGGAUCUGACAUAGCCCAAACCAGGGCAGAGGCUGUAGCAAGGGGAGGAAGCUGGGAAAGCCUGAGGGUCAGAGGGGACUGGAACAAUCAGGCUUGGCCAUGGCGGCUGGUGCUGAUAACCAUUUCUUGGCAG